Passer domesticus (house sparrow) is the source of this 674-nucleotide long non-coding RNA. RefSeq lists it as uncharacterized. The record is from RefSeq and is a predicted model, not a curated record. The transcript is spliced from 2 exons. Lineage: Eukaryota; Metazoa; Chordata; Aves; Passeriformes; Passeridae.
CGGGGACCCGCGCUGCCGGCCCCGAGCCCCGCUGCCGGCCCCGAGCCCCGCUGCCGGCCCCAUGGGCACCGGCCGCUGCCUCCCCUGCUGUGCCCCGCGCGAGCGGAGCCGGCGGUGAGGCCGUGCCGGGCGGGGGCUGCCCGCCGGGCGGGGGCUGCCCGCCGGGCGGUUCCCCUCAGAGCGGCCGCGGCCGGGCCGUUGGGGACGGUGUGUGUGCGGCCCGGGGGCUCGGCGGGCCUGGCAGCGCAGGAGCGUCUGCGGCUGGAGUGCUGCAGCGGGCCCUGUGAGGGGCACUUAGACCUGCAGUCGGAGCAGCAGCCUCUAGGGCAUUUCUAUGGUGAAAGUAUCCAAAAUACUGUCCCAGACACUUCAGUGUAGGAGUCCAGCUACCAGAGGUGAGAGAGCAGUGUUGCGAGUUCCUGGAGGCUGCUGUCUGUGUGACCAUGUGUUUACUAAACUUGAAGGGAUACAAAUAUGAUUCUUGGGAAGAAAUCGGCUGGAAACAAUUCCUGGUGAAGUGUCAGAACAGCCUUUGAACCCACAGUGUUGUCCCCAUGUCCUGAAGCAGCACAAGAGCAGGGCUGGUGCUACUGCCACCACCUUCUUCAUUUUUACAGUGGAGAAUUCCUUUAGCCUGAGCAAUAAAACACCUGGAAAACUCCAGCACCCCCAAA